This 492-nucleotide ribosomal RNA is filed under the name uncultured bacterium. RNAcentral describes it as "partial 16S ribosomal RNA". It matches the Rfam family "Bacterial small subunit ribosomal RNA", at positions 29 to 507 of the family's 1533-position model. The record is from RNAcentral.
AGUGAACGCUGGCGGUAGGCCUAACACAUGCAAGUCGAACGGCAGCACAGUAAGAGCUUGCUCUUACGGGUGGCGAGUGGCGGACGGGUGAGGAAUACAUCGGAAUCUACUUUUUCGUGGGGGAUAACGUAGGGAAACUUACGCUAAUACCGCAUACGACCUACGGGUGAAAGCAGGGGAUCUUCGGACCUUGCGCGAUUGAAUGAGCCGAUGUCGGAUUAGCUAGUUGGCGGGGUAAAGGCCCACCAAGGCGACGAUCCGUAGCUGGUCUGAGAGGAUGAUCGGCCACACUGGAACUGAGACACGGUCCAGACUCCUACGGGAGGCAGCAGUGGGGAAUAUUGGACAAUGGGCGCAAGCCUGAUCCAGCCAUACCGCGUGGGUGAAGAAGGCCUUCGGGUUGUAAAGCCCUUUUGUUGGGAAAGAAAAGCAGCAGGUUAAUACCCCGCUGUCCUGACGGUACCCAAAGAAUAAGCACCGGCUAACUUCGUG